AGCGAAACGGGAAGAGCCCAAACCAACAAGCUUGCUUGUUGGGGUUGUAGGACACUCUAUACGGAGUUACAAAGGACGACAUUAGACGAAUCAUCUGGAAAGAUGAAUCAAAGAAGGUAAUAAUCCUGUAGUCGAAAAUGUUGUCUCUCUUGAGUGGAUCCUGAGUACGACGGAGCACGUGAAAUUCCGUCGGAAUCUGGGAGGACCAUCUCCUAAGGCUAAAUACUCUCUAGUGACCGAUAGUGAACCAGUACCGUGAGGGAAAGGUGAAAAGCACCCCGGAAGGGGAGU
RNAcentral lists this ribosomal RNA (291 nucleotides) under Staphylococcus aureus. RNAcentral describes it as "partial 23S ribosomal RNA". It matches the Rfam family "Bacterial large subunit ribosomal RNA", at positions 252 to 539 of the family's 2925-position model. The record is from RNAcentral. Lineage: Bacteria; Bacillati; Bacillota; Bacilli; Caryophanales; Staphylococcaceae.